Molecule: long non-coding RNA, 565 nt
Organism: Stomoxys calcitrans (stable fly)
Lineage: Eukaryota; Metazoa; Arthropoda; Insecta; Diptera; Muscidae
Exons: 2
Source: RefSeq, a predicted model, not a curated record
GUUUAAAUACCACCCCUAAAACUAAACAAAAAUCAACAUCCAAUUGUUGAAGAAACUUGUCCUGUUUUGUUAAAAUUGAUAUAAUUUGACAUAAGGAUGAUAUUGUAAAAUAUAGCUGAAACAAACAAUAAACAUACGAACAAUUGGUAAUUUAGUGUUUAUUUGUUUUUGAAAAUUUUUUUUCGUGGUGAGAAAAGGACCACGGAACAACAAAGUGAAAAGUUUUGCUUUCACUAGCUGAAGUGAGUUUCAGAUCACACCCGAAUAUGUCAACUUUUUUUUGGAUGGCGCUUGCAAGACAUUAAGUAUUGUUUUCAGUAUGAAACUCAAAAUUUUGUUUUUCCUGUGCGCCUAAAAUUAGUAGCGCAGCAAGAAGUUCGAUGUUUAUGUUGGCUGCCGGUGAGAAAUUCCGUACGAGAAACAUCGGCAUUCUUUUUGUGUAUUUUUCAUUACGCUUCAAUUCCUUUACUAUUGUUUUCUUUCUGUAUAUUUUAAAAUCUUUGAUUUUUGCAUAAAUGGGGAAAAAUUUUUAAUAAAAAAAUGUAGUACAAACCUCAGACUACAA